GGGCCUUUACGAUGUCGAUUUGGAGGCUGUGUCCUUGAGGCGUGGCUUCCGGAGCUAACGCGUUAAAUCGACCGCCUGGGGAGUACGGCCGCAAGGUUAAAACUCAAAUGAAUUGACGGGGGCCCGCACAAGCGGUGGAGCAUGUGGUUUAAUUCGAUGCAACGCGAAGAACCUUACCUGGCCUUGACAUGUCUGGAAUCCUGCAGAGAUGCUUUGGUGCCUUCGGGAAUCAUAACACAGGUGCUGCAUGGCUGUCGUCAGCUCGUGUCGUGAAAUGUUGGGUUAAGUCCCGCAACGAGCGCAACCCCUGUCCUUUGUUGCCAGCACGUAAUGGUGGGAACUCAAGGAAAACGGCCGGUGAUAAACGGGAGAAAGGGGGGAAUAACUUCAAGUCUUCUGGGCCCUUACAGCAAGGGUUACCCACUUGCUACAAGGGCCCGAACAGAAGGCUGCAACCUACCAAAAGUGAGCGAAUCCCAAAAAUGCCGUCUAAUUCCGGAUGGAAUUCUGCACUUCACCUCCUUGAAGUCGAAUCGGCUAGUAAUCUCAAAUCGAAUGGUUGCGUUGAUUACUUCCCCGGCCCUUGUACACACCGCCCGUCACACAAUGGAAUGGGGUGCCACAGAAGUAAGAUACUUAACCCUUCGGAAGGGCGUUUACAACGUUGUGAUUCUUGACGGGGUUGAAUUCUUAAAGGGUUAACAAUA
RNAcentral lists this ribosomal RNA (707 nucleotides) under Aeromonas sp. RNAcentral's name for it is "bacterial SSU rRNA". It matches the Rfam family "Bacterial small subunit ribosomal RNA", at positions 798 to 1504 of the family's 1533-position model. Lineage: Bacteria; Pseudomonadati; Pseudomonadota; Gammaproteobacteria; Aeromonadales; Aeromonadaceae. The record is from RNAcentral.